CAUCUCUUCUCUUGCGCCACCUAAGAAACUUCAAGCCCACGCCACUAAUUUAAUUUCAAAUAUUUUUCUAUGAUAUCUCUAUUUAAGAAAUGUUAUCUUACACCAAUUAUUCUAGAGAUUUGAAUCAGAUUUGAUUUGAUUCAAUAUGAAAAGUGAUUUGGCUAAUUAUGGAAAGUGGUUUAGGUUUAUCUCCUUUGUUUGAAAGAGUCCCUCUUCACAAGGAAUCUUCUCUCCUCUCUUGUGCC
RNAcentral lists this long non-coding RNA (245 nucleotides) under Elaeis guineensis (African oil palm). RNAcentral describes it as "long non-coding RNA (EGUI_LNC069374)". The record is from RNAcentral. Lineage: Eukaryota; Viridiplantae; Streptophyta; Magnoliopsida; Arecales; Arecaceae.